Corylus avellana is the source of this 495-nucleotide non-coding RNA. Lineage: Eukaryota; Viridiplantae; Streptophyta; Magnoliopsida; Fagales; Betulaceae. The record is from RefSeq and is a predicted model, not a curated record.
GUGACAUUAAUUUUGUAAGACGCUUACAAAAUCUCAGGCGGAGAGCUUCUCAGACACACAAGAAUUUAGAAAUCUCCAGGAUUGCCUUGAUGAAGUGAAGAUGAAGCUCCAAUCCACUUCUGUGCCCAUGCAAAAUCCUAUCUGAUGAAGUCCCUCGAAAAAUAUUAUUGCAUUAUAAAGACAAGGGAUGUAGUCAAUAAUACAAGUAGAACAUGCAGCCUUCUUUCUGGACAGUUUGGAUUGGACGGUCACGGGGAUAUCAUAUUUGUUAGCACAAAAAAGAAGAAAUAUUUACGAUCAUGAUUGGGCCUCUCUCUCUCUCUCUCUCUAUAUAUAUAUAGCAUUGAGUUUUUCUUACCCUCCAAAUCCAUAUCAAUUGAAUGUGUAUCACACCAAAUUUUGUAAUAUUAGCCAAAUUCCUUAUUCACCAUAGCUAAGUUCACUUCUCACUGAAUGAUUGACCUAGAUUGAUUAUUAUAAGGGUUAUUAGUUACC